Grus americana (Whooping crane) is the source of this 1154-nucleotide long non-coding RNA. RefSeq lists it as uncharacterized. The record is from RefSeq and is a predicted model, not a curated record. The transcript has 4 exons. Lineage: Eukaryota; Metazoa; Chordata; Aves; Gruiformes; Gruidae.
UGGGGCUGGAGCUAGAGGCACACAUUCCAUUUUUGCCACACAACACUGCAUUUUCUCUCCUGUUCUUGGAGCCCACCUGGUUGGCAUCUGGGAAACUGGGGCUGAGGAGCCAGAAGAAGCAAAAAUUACUGUCUGGGGAAUGUAGGGAAUCACAGACAGAGCUGCAGAUCUGAAAAGUGGGAAUGAAAUCUGAAAAGUGAGAAUGGAGAACUCCUUGGACCUACAGAUCUCCCCAAGCAGAAGCAGCAGGCCUGAGGAACGGUCGCAUCAGGGGAGCUUCUGAGGCACUCUGGGAGAGCAAAUGUCAACACUGUGUGGGAGAUUUAUGUCCAUUUAAAAACAAGAGACUGAAGUACAGUGAGUUCGGAGUGGGCUUUCUCUGUAGUCAUACUUAUGUCAUCACUGCCUACCACACAGCUUGGGCUGAAGCAACAGGAUGAUCAUUUGUCUGACACAGAUAACUUGGCGAAGUGCACCAGUGGUCUUACGAUGUACAGCAUGUUCGACAUUGCUACCUUUCAUAAUGUAUGAAGCUGAUUCAGCUAAGCAGACUUUGUUUUGGUCUAAUAGAUAAAUGCAUAUUUAAGAAAUUCAGAAGAAAAUUGUGAAUGCAUGUAGUAGGCCAUAAUAGUAGCUUAGAAUAUUUUCUGCCUGUACAGCAAGGUCAUUUCUUACUAUAUGCAUUGCAUAAUCAGUUUAAAGAGCUCUUAUUUUAAGCAGACGUCUUGAUUGGUUAUGUAAGACCACACUUGCUAGAUAUUUUAUUCAGUCUAUAAAAUGCAGUAUCUUUUUGAAGCUGGUGUCAUUGUUAGCAUAUAUUUAGGCUCCUCAUUGUGAAGUGAUUGUCUGAGUUCUGGAAAGUCUUUUCUGUGGAGUAGUUGAACCGCAGAUUAUUGGGAAUUCCUAGUAUGCAGUAGUAUUACAUGCAAUUACAUAAUUUAAGACUGUGCAGUAAAGUGCAACUUUAGAUAAGUUUGGAAGUGAGUUUUCCAUUAGACCUCAAUGAAUAUUGCAAAAGAACUUCCACAAAUAUUUCAGUCUUACAGUAUUUUCACCAUAACACUUUUUGUAAUCACUGUCUGUAAAUAUUUCCUUUGAAUCCUCAAAAAACAUGAGGAAGAUCAGUUUGUAGGCACUUACAAAACACCCAAGUU